Molecule: ribosomal RNA, 223 nt
Filed under: uncultured bacterium
Lineage: Bacteria
Description: partial 16S ribosomal RNA
Rfam family: Bacterial small subunit ribosomal RNA
Source: RNAcentral
CCCACCAAAGCGACGAUCAGUAGCCGGCCUGAGAGGGUGACGGCCACAUUGGGACUGAGACACGGCCCAGACUCCUACGGGAGGCAGCAGUGGGGAAUAUUGCACAAUGGGGGAAACCUUGAUGCAGCCGACGCCGCGUGAGUGAUGAAGUAUUUCGGUAUGUAAAGCUCUAUCAGCAGGGAAGAAAAUGACGGUACCUGACUAAGAAGCCCCGGCUAACUAC